CAGCCGCCGCGGGAAUACGGAGGGGGCUAGCGUUGUUCGGAAUUACUGGGCGUAAAGCGCACGUAGGCGGCUUGGUAAGUUAGAGGUGAAAGCCCGGAGCCCAACUCCGGAAUUGCCUUUAAGACUGCCGAGCUAGCAGGUGAGAGAGGUAAGUGGAAUUCCGAGUGUAGAGGUGAAAUUCGUAGAUAUUCGGAGGAACACCAGUGGCGAAGGCGGCUUACUGGCUCAUACUGGACGCUGAGGUGCGAAAGCGUGGGGAGCAAACAGGAUUAGAUACCCCUGUAGUCCCUGUCUCUUAUAU
Molecule: ribosomal RNA, 301 nt
Filed under: uncultured bacterium
Lineage: Bacteria
Description: partial 16S ribosomal RNA
Rfam family: Bacterial small subunit ribosomal RNA
Source: RNAcentral